Molecule: ribosomal RNA, 475 nt
Filed under: uncultured archaeon
Lineage: Archaea
Description: bacterial SSU rRNA
Rfam family: Archaeal small subunit ribosomal RNA
Source: RNAcentral
AGUGUGAUAAGGGAACCCAAAAUGCUUUACUUAGUAAAGCUUUUGCCAAGAGUAAAUAUCUUGGAGAAUAAGUGGUGGGCAAGACUGGUGCCAGCCGCCGCGGUAAUACCAGCGCCACGAGUGGGAACUAUAAUUAUUGGGCCUAAAGCGUCCGUAGCCGGUUUAAUAAAUUUCUUGUGAAAUUGUUGAGCUUAACUUAACAAAGUGCAGGAAAGACUGUUAGACUAGGGACUGGGAGGGGUUAGAAGUAUGUUUAGGGUAGCGGUAAAAUGUUAUAAUCCUAAACAGACUACCAAUGGCGAAGGCAUCUAACCAGAACAGGUCCGACGGUGAGGGACGAAAGCCAGGGGAGCAAACCGGAUUAGAUACCCGAGUAGUCCUGGCCGUAAACGCUGCGAGCAAGAUGUUGCAUAUUCUUCGUGAAUAUGCAGUAUCGAAGAGAAGUCGUUAAGCUCGCCGCCUGGGAAGUAUGGUC